This is a long non-coding RNA of Cyprinus carpio carpio, 550 nucleotides long. NCBI's taxonomy places the organism in Eukaryota, Metazoa, Chordata, Actinopteri, Cypriniformes, Cyprinidae. The record is from Ensembl.
GGAGAGCCGAAGGAAUACUUAUUGAAGUAGUCACAACGACGACAUCACUAGCUAGGCCGCAUAUUCCAUCGCCAGAUCCGAACCAAGCGAAGUGAAGGAAGACGGGUGUCCUUUUCGUACACUGAGUGUGGUGGAUAAACCCCCGCCUUCACGCACUUCGUCGCGGGAGGACAAGGAGACUGCUGGUCCUAGCCUAGUUCAGUAUAGUAUAUGUUGUGAGCGUGCUUCAGAUCUCCGGAGAUAGCACAGUACGCUGUGUCCAGCCCAGAGGUGAAAGCCAUCCAAAGCAGAGUAACUGUGCUUUGUGCCCAAGUUGAUACCUGUGGAGAGAAAAGGAGAGAGAUUGAUACCUGUGGAGAGAAAAGGAGAGAGAGUGGGUAACACGAGGAGAGAUCGAGGAAACCUGUACUUACGCCGCUGCCUGUGGAGAAAGAGAAAGCGAGUGAGCACCCAAGGAACGAACUGUGUGAACCAGUACUUACUGUGAGCUGCAAUCAGCGAAGAGGUGAGAGCAAAACCAAGCCGAAUUAACUGUGCCUUUGUGUCCCAG